CUACCGCUGCCUCCUUUGCAUCACUUUCUCUUUCAAUUAUAUUUUAUCUAAUUCUUGCAUGGCAGAGAGCCUACUUACACAAGAGAUAUCCGAUCUCUGUCUAGGCAAGCCUGCACUGAGGUCUCUCCCGCUCACCGCUACGGUGGCUGAAGCUCUCUCCGCUCUUAAGAACUUCGAUGAUAACUUCUUAAGCGUCUGGAGUUGUGACCACGCGCGUAAAACAAUUACUGGGUUUGAAGCUGAUGCUGAUGAAAAUGAGUGUAAAUGUGUUGGGAAGGUGAGCAUGGUGGAUGUCAUAUGCUAUCUUUGCAAGGAUGAGAACUUGAUGUGCCCUUCCACUGCCUUGAAAGCUCCUCUCUCUGUUCUGUUGCCUAAGAUUCCUGGCCUUGUCACGCAUGCAGAACCAUCUGCGAGGUAUUGGAUUUUUGUGUUUUUUGGAUUUUUGUUAUCUCUUAGUUUCAGACUUUUUCGAAUCUUAUCUGGGUUUGUUAUCCUUGAUUUUUCAGUUUAAUUUCUUUAUGGGAGUUCCCAAGGGUUCUUCUGUUUUAUGCUUGUUGAAAGAAAUGAAUGAGCAAAAAAUGCUUAUUAGGAGCAAUUGAUCUGAUCCUACAAGGAGCUCAAAAUCUGGUAGUACCAAUAAAUGCUAGACUCAAUUCCUCCAGUUCAAGAAGAAAACAGCAGCAGAAACUCUUGGUAACAACUAACACCCCCACAACCACCCACGGCGGCCGCGAAUUCUGCUGGCUAACUCAAGAAGAUAUAAUCAGAUUCCUUCUGAGCUCCAUCGGCCUUUUCUCUCCCCUACCGGCUCUCUCCAUCAACACCCUUGGCAUCAUCAGCCCUGACAUCUUUACCAUAGAUUACCAUUCCCCUGCUUCCUCUGCACUUGGAGCCAUUUCUCGCUGUCUCACAGAUCACACUUCGGUCGCAGUUGUUGAUGGCGAAGAGGGCAUCUUGAUCGGGGAGUUGUCACCAUUCACACUAGCUUGCUGCGAUGAGACCGUCGCAGCAGCCAUCACUACCCUGUCCUGUGGGGAUUUAAUGGCCUACAUUGACUGUGGAGGCCCCCCAGAGGACCUUGUCAGGAUAGUGAUGGCAAGACUGAAGCAGAGAGGCCUAGAAGCUAUGCUAAAACAAUUCACAAACUCUACAACAUCACUGUUCUCACUUUCAUCUUCAUCAUCAUCAGAUGAGGAGUCAGGAACACCAUUAAAUUGGUCAGGGAAGUACAGUAGGUCAAUGAGUUAUUCUGCAAGGUUGUUGAGAAGAGCAGAGGCAAUAGUUUGCUAUCCCAAGAGCUCCCUGGUGGCAGUGAUGAUUCAGGCAAUUGCACACAGAGUGAAUUAUGCGUGGGUUAUAGAGGAGGAUUGUAGCUUGAUUGGCAUUGUCACAUUUUGUAAUAUGCUGAAGGUUUUCAGGGAACAUUUAGAGGCUAUGGCCUAAAAAUGCUGAGCAGAGGAGUGAUGAGGAGCUUUCUAGUAAGUUUUGUCUUUUGGGUUUCAAUUAUCUGCUAAGGCUUAGAUGCUAAUGUGGUGAGAGCUUUGUUUGAGAAAAUAAAUGAUUAGGACUGUGAUGUGAACAUGGGAACUUUUUUCUUCACUUUAUGUUUGUGCUUUUUACUUCUUUCUUUUUUCAAUUUAUGUGAAAGCAGGAAACUAAGUAGACAUUGGCAGAUGAUGUUUCUGUAAUCUGACCCCUUUUUCCUUUUUAUAUUGUAUUAAUGGGCAUUUUUUCUAGGUCAUGAUUUUGUUAAGAU
This 1756-nucleotide unclassified non-coding RNA is filed under the name Hevea brasiliensis (rubber tree). The record is from RNAcentral. Lineage: Eukaryota; Viridiplantae; Streptophyta; Magnoliopsida; Malpighiales; Euphorbiaceae.